Molecule: long non-coding RNA, 1714 nt
Organism: Armigeres subalbatus
Lineage: Eukaryota; Metazoa; Arthropoda; Insecta; Diptera; Culicidae
Exons: 6
Source: RefSeq, a predicted model, not a curated record
GACCCGAACUUUAGGGUAACAUGUUACCUCAUGAGCCUAAGAAAAUGAUUCACGUUAGGGUAAACCUCGACUAAAAUUACGCUAUAUUGCAACAUCGUGUUAGGCGUUUGCUGAUUUCAAACGUCUGCGUUAGGGUAACAUUAGUGUAACCUUACCCUAACGUGAGUCAUUUCAGUGAGUCGACCAAAAUAGUGCAUGUAGUAGUGAGUUGUAUACAGCACAUAAUUUGUGUUCACUAAUCCAACGGCAAGUCUCCUCAAUGACAGUUCGCGGUAAACAAUCCAAAAAAUAAGCUCGAUCAGCUCUAUCCACAAAUCGCAAAAAGUGAACUGUUACAACACCAUAGAUAAUAAAAAUUAAAUUAAAAGGAUUGAACAGACAUACUACUCACAAGGGUCAAAAACUUCGACGGCUUCGGAAUUCGUCGUUUGUUCAUCAGAUAGAAAUUGCACCUCAUCUCAUCGAUCGACGGAUACUAUCACAGUUCAACUGAAACCUGAUUCGGAAACCAAAAGCAACAGUUAUUCCGAUGCGCAAAUAUCAAACUUCUACUAGCAAACGGAUCACACUUGCCGGAAGAGUUCUUGCCACGACUGCAACUCGCUAAAAUGAGCUCUCUACGUCCUUUGGAUUUACAUCGGUGUCUAACUUAUACAUCUCCCCUGAGGAAGAAUCCCGUCGAGAGGAGGUUUACCUGGAGCCGACCGACUUCCUUUAUGUGAGCGAAUUUUCCUAGUCCUUGUUCCGUCUAAAAGAGAAUGACUAGUUGAAUGCGGUACGGGACCACCCGACACGACGUACGAUUUUUCCAGCGAUGUCGCUGCCCGGGAAACCAAUUUUUACGUUGCACCCCGUUUGUUUUUAACUGGAGCGAAUCGCAGAAGGCAAGAUGUAAAUUCGGGCAUCACUUCGACAGGUCAACCUUCAGAAGUAAUCGAUCAGAAAGAUGUAUUUAUUAUCUAUGUUUUGAACAAUUGCUGGCCUGGCGAUAAAAGCGGAUGUUGUCAUUGUCAUACAGGAAGUAUUUCACAUAUACUUCAGAGUAAUGUAUAACGGAAGGGAGCAUCCGGAGAUCCUUCUGCAUUAGUGAGAAAGUCAUCUUGGUGUGAGUAUUUCAAAAGUGUCAAGCCGCCAAGCAAAACACCCGUAGCCAUCUGCCAAACAACAAAACAGACAUCCAAAACAAAACAAACAACAAAACGGACAAAACAGAAAUAUCCUCAAUUAAAUCAAAUAUAUCAGGAAAGUAUGGAUAAUAAAUAGAAGGUUGCCGCUGUGAAGCGGUGAAUUUAGCUGCAUCGGUCUGCGCUGCGGGUUUCCCCCUGAGAUAAACAACUUCGCAUUCUCUCAAACUGAAAUCGUUGCUCUAGGCUACAGGAAACGGAAGAUCUUUCCAGUCAAUGACGAGAUGUCCCAUUGGAAUCACCCAUACAAUGUUAGAGCGAUGGAAAUGGAUUUUUCAAAUGGACCCAGAGUGUGUCGCGGGGGAACAUCGCUGGCCAAAUUUCGGAUCUAUAAAAUACCAUCGAUACGGAAUCGAUGUCAGUAUUGUUGCUGACAAAUAAUCAUGGUUCGAGAGUCGUCAGUGUUGGAAGGAAGAUCACAGUUAUAGGGCUGUCGAGGGCAAAAGCACCUGUAAAAUCAACGUGUACCUAGUCAAAUAACAUCCAUUAUUGUAUAAUAAAAUAUGUCUAUAAAACUGGUUCUCCUUGAU